This 523-nucleotide ribosomal RNA is filed under the name Colletotrichum karsti. Its description in RNAcentral is "eukaryotic LSU rRNA". The stretch from base 162 to 315 matches the Rfam family "5.8S ribosomal RNA". The record is from RNAcentral. Lineage: Eukaryota; Fungi; Ascomycota; Sordariomycetes; Glomerellales; Glomerellaceae.
CAUACCUACAACUGUUGCUUCGGCGGGUAGGCCGUCCCCUGAAAAGGACGCCUCCCGGCCCGGACCGGACCCCCCGCGGGACCGGACCCGGCGCCCGCCGGAGGAUAACCAAACUCUAUUGUAACGACGUUUCUUCUGAGUGGCAUAAGCAAAAUAAUCAAAACUUUUAACAACGGAUCUCUUGGUUCUGGCAUCGAUGAAGAACGCAGCGAAAUGCGAUAAGUAAUGUGAAUUGCAGAAUUCAGUGAAUCAUCGAAUCUUUGAACGCACAUUGCGCCCGCCAGCAUUCUGGCGGGCAUGCCUGUUCGAGCGUCAUUUCAACCCUCAAGCUCUGCUUGGUGUUGGGGCUCUACGGUCGACGUAGGCCCUCAAAGGUAGUGGCGGACCCUCCCGGAGCCUCCUUUGCGUAGUAACAUUUCGUCUCGCACUGGGAUCCGGAGGGACUCUUGCCGUAAAACCCCCCAAUUUUCCAAAGGUUGACCUCGGAUCAGGUAGGAAUACCCGCUGAACUUAAGCAUAUCAA